GAUGAACGCUGGCGGCGUGCCUAAUACAUGCAAGUCGAGCGAACAGACGAGGAGCUUGCUCCUCUGACGUUAGCGGCGGACGGGUGAGUAACACGUGGAUAACCUACCUAUAAGACUGGGAUAACUUCGGGAAACCGGAGCUAAUACCGGAUAAUAUAUUGAACCGCAUGGUUCAAUAGUGAAAGACGGUUUUGCUGUCACUUAUAGAUGGAUCCGCGCCGCAUUAGCUAGUUGGUAAGGUAACGGCUUACCAAGGCGACGAUGCGUAGCCGACCUGAGAGGGGGAUCGGCCACACUGGAACUGAGACACGGUCCAGACUCCUACGGGAGGCAGCAGUAGGGAAUCUUCCGCAAUGGGCGAAAGCCUGACGGAGCAACGCCGCGUGAGUGAUGAAGGUCUUCGGAUCGUAAAACGCUGUUAUUAGGGAAGAACAAAUGUGUAAGUAACUAUGCACGUCUUGACGGUACCUAAUCAGAAAGCCACGGCUAACUACGU
This 496-nucleotide ribosomal RNA is filed under the name uncultured bacterium. RNAcentral's name for it is "partial 16S ribosomal RNA". It matches the Rfam family "Bacterial small subunit ribosomal RNA", at positions 28 to 506 of the family's 1533-position model. The record is from RNAcentral.